This is a long non-coding RNA of Vigna unguiculata (cowpea), 1031 nucleotides long. RefSeq lists it as uncharacterized. The record is from RefSeq and is a predicted model, not a curated record. NCBI's taxonomy places the organism in Eukaryota, Viridiplantae, Streptophyta, Magnoliopsida, Fabales, Fabaceae.
UUUAUUUUAAAUCAAAAUUGCAAACUAAAAUUUUUAAUAUUGAAAAUCGUUAAUUAUCAUGUUUGAUGAUUGCAUGUUUUCUUAGGCCUUAUGGAUAAAUCAACUCUGUGAUCUAGUUAAUCUCUUCUCAGCAUGUGUACUGUGUCCGCUAGUUCUGUAUUUGCAAUGGUUGAUGUGUUUGCAUCGUUAUUUUCAGGUAUAUUCUGAUUCCAAAUGGAACCACCAACACCUUCAAAAACACCAAACGCAGAAAAUUUGAACCCCAACGUAGAACGGAGUAAGCAAAAAGUCACUAGGCAAAAUCCAUUUAAGCUAAUAACAGAGAGGGGAAAGGUGAAAUAGGAAGAGCUGAUGAAGAAAGUACAAGAGAUGAUGGCUGAAGAAGAAAAUUUGAGGAUACCAAUGCACAAAGUCUUCCAUGGACUACAUACGAACCUCAGGUGAGGUCAUGGUGCUUUGUUUGAUGUCACUUUUCGCAGCGCUUGUUAAAAACCUACAUGGAAUGAGAGAAGAAGGCCUCCCUAGUGAUAUUCCAGCAAUUGAUGAUCGUGCUGAAUUUCACCACAGAUGACAGAAGAAGAAGAAAUAAAGAGAUUGAGGAAGGAGCUCGUUCUAAAGGCUCAACCAAAUCCUUAUUUUUGAUAGACCUUUUGUUCGAAGGAGGUAUAACAGGUAGAACAUGUUUUCUGCAAACUGUCAUUUCAUUUUUUUUUUCUCAUUAUGAGUCUUUAUGCAUGAAAGGUCAAUGAAGCCUUCAACAAUACUUAGAAAUCCAAGAUUCAGCACAAGGACCACGGAGUAGCCUUGGAUUGUAGAAUAGAUUUUCUUGUAAAUUUUAGUUUUGGGACUUGCUGGACCUCAUAAUUGUAUCUUUUCUUAGGUUUUGGACUAUAAGUUUAGAAGCCCAUAAUAUAUAAGCCUUUUGGUAGACUAAGCCCAUAGUAUAUAGGUCUUUUAGUAGACUCUUGUAUACUGAUUUUGUAUAAUUGAAAAAUUGAGGUUUUCUUUUAUGUGAGAGUUUUUCUCUUUAG